This is a long non-coding RNA of Haliotis rubra (blacklip abalone), 127 nucleotides long. RefSeq lists it as uncharacterized. Lineage: Eukaryota; Metazoa; Mollusca; Gastropoda; Lepetellida; Haliotidae. The record is from RefSeq and is a predicted model, not a curated record. The transcript has 3 exons.
GUAGCCUAGUGGUUAAAGCCCGGGUUCGAUUCUACAUAUGGAUAUAAUGUGAGAAGCCCAUUUAUGGUGUCCUCCGCCGUGAUACUGCUGAAAUAGUGCUAAAAGCGGCGUAAAACUAAAGUCACUC